CAAACCGGUAGAGGCGCGUCUUUCAUCAGUAACCGGGCAUCAGAUUGCCAAAGUCGUUUAAAGGGCCGGAGAAAGGGACAGACGCCGAAGGGGAUGCGCUUGGCGGGCGCGCCUCUGGGGGUAUUUCCGAAAAGGGGUGCCACUGUCAUCAUUGCAGUAUGAUGGAGCGCUAUGGGGAGG
RNAcentral lists this non-coding RNA (180 nucleotides) under Anaerotruncus sp. G3(2012). RNAcentral describes it as "Lysine riboswitch aptamer". It matches the Rfam family "Lysine riboswitch aptamer". Rfam says of the family: Riboswitches are metabolite binding domains within certain messenger RNAs that serve as precision sensors for their corresponding targets. Allosteric rearrangement of mRNA structure is mediated by ligand binding, and this results in modulation of gene expression. RNAcentral also lists the same sequence under 1 other name. Lineage: Bacteria; Bacillati; Bacillota; Clostridia; Eubacteriales; Oscillospiraceae. The record is from Rfam by way of RNAcentral.